CUAGAUAGGAGGGCCUU
This 17-nucleotide transfer RNA is filed under the name Crotaphytus collaris. RNAcentral's name for it is "partial tRNA-Asx". Lineage: Eukaryota; Metazoa; Chordata; Lepidosauria; Squamata; Crotaphytidae. The record is from RNAcentral.